AUUCUAAGUGCCAACUCUCAGGGGAGAUGUCUUCAGUAUUUCUCCAGAGUGUUGCUUUGGGGGGCACUCCUGUGCCGUAGUAGUUCUGACACUUAUCAGAUCCAGAUCAUUCUACUAACAAUGGUCUUGAGCCAACAUUUGUCAUUCAAAGGUUGCUCUCUUAUGGAAUUGCCAUAGCUAGGCAAUCAUUUCUUAUUUAGAAACAUUGGACACUUUUAGGUGUGCUUUCAUGGUGAUUAUACGGUUUUACAUUAAGUUAUGCAGCAAAAUAUCUUUUAGGAGCCCCAGAUACUCAAUGAGGCACCAUCACAUUGAACAGAAAUAAUUGCAAGUAGGAAGGUGAUUUGAGGAAGUGACAAUCCCCCAGUGGAAUCUGGUUUUGAACUGUGACGUCUUAUAGCAUUUCAUGAUUGUUUUGUUAGUGCCAGGAAAUCUGAUCUGGGAGAAACAUUGGCACUUUUUCUAAGGCUCACAUCAUUAAAGUUUAUUUCUUUAUUUGAGGGAGAGAGCUUGCUCCAAAUUGGAGAAAACCGAGAGAACAGUUAGUAGGACUUAAAUUCUAACUCUGUUGAUGUCUCAGUUAUUUAUUACUGUGUAACAAACUACCCUAAAAUUUAGUGGCUUAAAACAAAAACCAUGUAAUUGUUCAUGAUUCUGUGGGUCAGGAAUUCAGACAGGGCUCAGUGGGGAUGGUUCACCUCUGCUCCACAUCAUGUUGCCUGGGGCUGGAAGAUCCAAGAUGACCUCACUCACGGGCUUAGGCAUUGGUGCUGGCUGAUGGCGGGGGGAGCUCACUUCUCUUCCAAGGACCUCUCUCUUUUCUCUCUCUCUCUAUCUUUCCCCCCAAUCCUCCACCCCACCCUUCACUCUUGCUCUCACUCUAUCUCUGUGGUCUCUCAUCAUUCAGUAGUCAUAUUUACAUUGAGGUAGCUGGCUCACCAAAGGAACUGGAAAUGCUCUCAAGGAUCAGAAAUCAGUGUCACUUCUCCCACAUUCUACUGACCUGACCAAAGUAAAUCUCAGGAUCCACCUAGAAUCAUGCAGAGAAGAAAGACUCCACUUCUUGGCUGAAAGAGCUGCGUGGUACACAGGGUUUGUUGGUGGCCAUUUUUUGCAGAAAAGCUACUACAGUGGCUGACUCCUAGCAAGGUGUUUCUAAGUUCCUUCACUGGACAAAUUAAUAUUAGUCAAUUGCCUUAAAGAAAUAGAGUUAUCUUAUUUGGUGGACUCCCAAAUGCCAUCCACACUGUGUGUAAGAUGCACAUAGUUUUAUGCACUGUUUUAAAAGAAAGCCACCAAAUAAAAUGGGACAUGAUAUCAAUUGUUAAGAUCAAUUUCAGAGAUACUAAAUGAUGGAGGAAAUAUGCAUGUUAGAAUUAAUAAAAAUGGUAAUUAUUCACUAUAUAACUCAACAGAAUUUAAAAAUGAAUGGAUAAAAAUCUGAGGUGUAAAAAUAAGUCACUCUUUUGAUCACUGAGUCUAUUAAUUGAAUAUCAACUUACAUAGGUCUUAUCCUGACUAAGGUGCUGAUGAUCUGGCCUACUGUCUAGUAGAACAGGGCCUUAAGGAACCAUUAUUUCUCCCCCAUCCCCUCAUCAAACCAUGAGGAAAAGCCUGAUGAGGGAAGCAAGCAAUGAAUCAGUAAAAUGAACAUUUUAAAGAAUAAGAGGUCCUGUGAGUGUCUGGGGGGAAAUAAAGAAGGUGAUGAGGGAUAAUAACAAACCACCUCCUUUAGACAGGGGUGGUUACCGAAGGGCAUGUGAAGAAAGGAUGUUGAAGCAGAGACCCAGGGAUUAAAAAGAAUCAGCCAUGCAAAAAGCAGAGGAAGGUACUUGUAUUAGUCCGUUUUCAUGCUGCUGAUAAAGACAUACCUGAGACUGGGUGACACACAAAAGCAGACAGCCCUGAUAAUACCAUCAGAUCUCAUGAGAUUUAUUCACUACCACAAGAACAGUAUGGAGGAAACCGCCCUCAUUGUUCAAUUAUCCCCCACUGGGUCCCUUCCACAACAUGUGGGAAUUAUGAGAGUACAAUUCCAGAUGAGAUUUGGGUGGGGACAUAUAGCCAAACCAUAUCAGUGUUCUAGACCAGGCAGAGGACACAGUAAGUACAAAGUUGCUGAGAUGGGAAAGAGCUUGGCACAUUCUUAGAAGUGAAAGUAGAUUGGUUUCAUUGGAGCGCAAUGAGCAAAUUCCUCCAUUAAACAUCUGUUUAAAUAUCUGCGAAGCAAAACAACCACAACAAAAACCAACUAGAUCCAGAAUUUUCCAAGUCUAUCAACAUCUUUGGGAGGAAAAAAAUGGGCCCUAUAGUGGGUUUUCUAAACCCUCUUACUAGCCAGAUGUUGAGAAUGUUUCUUGGGUUUAUAGGAGCUUAUUGAUUAAGUCACUGUUUCUUAAACAUGAGUAAUGAAGUAACCCUUUAAAUGGAAAAAUAUUAUAAAUCAUUAGUGUGGACAAAUCAUUUUAAUUAUGUUUCUUUAAGAUAAAUGAAGUAUAAAUGCUGUAUAUGCAUAGCUGUUAUGCAAAUCUAAGAGUAAAUCUAAUGUAGGAAUUAAAUACAAACUAAACUACAAAACUAACAAAAUGAAAAUUAUCAAUAUUAAUUCAGAGUAAUGGUUGAUGUUAUUUGCUGCCACUAACUUGUUGAUGUUUGGUUUAAUAGUAGAAAAUAAACUGAUGUAUUUAGUUU
Molecule: long non-coding RNA, 2691 nt
Filed under: Homo sapiens (human)
Lineage: Eukaryota; Metazoa; Chordata; Mammalia; Primates; Hominidae
Description: HSALNT0339602
Source: RNAcentral